UACAGAGGUCCCAAGCGUUGUUCGGAUUCACUGGGCGUAAAGGGUGCGUAGGUGGUCGGGUAAGUCUGAUGUGAAAUCUCCGAGCUCAACUCGGAAAUGGCAUUGGAUACUAUUCGGCUAGAGGAUUGGAGGGGGGACUGGAAUUCUCGGUGUAGCAGUGAAAUGCGUAGAUAUCGAGAGGAACACCAGUGGCGAAGGCGAGUCCCUGGACAACUCCUGACACUGAGGCACGAAAGCUAGGGGAGCAAACAGGAUUAGAAACCCCCGUAGUCC
This 273-nucleotide ribosomal RNA is filed under the name uncultured bacterium. RNAcentral's name for it is "partial 16S ribosomal RNA". It matches the Rfam family "Bacterial small subunit ribosomal RNA", at positions 524 to 796 of the family's 1533-position model. The record is from RNAcentral.